UGACUGUAGAGGUCGCCGGAGCGGUAGGAUACUGUAAGAUUACGUCAGUAAAGAUGGAAGCGCGUAGUCAGACGCUGGAGCUGAGCGAAGUCCAAAAAGAAGAGGAAGAAGUGGAUCAUGAAUAUUUUUCUUCCCUAUUCCAAACUAUUCUGGAGUUCUGAAGGAAGAAAAGUAUGAGGAAAUGUCGGAGUCUCCUCUGCCUGCAGGAGAGAGCCCAACCUCUACCUCUGACAGCGGAAUGAGUUGUUCUGCAGCAGGGGAGCCAGACCUUUACAAGACCAAACCAGAUAAAACAUAUGACUGCUCCCAGUGUGGAAAAAGAUUCUCACAACUAUCAAACCUGAAAUUCCAUUGCACAAUUUAUACAGGAGAGAAGCCUCAUAUCUGUGAUCAGUGUGGGAAGAGUUUCUCGAGACCAAAACAUCUGAAAAAACAUAAGACAAUUUAUACAGGAGAGAAACCACACAUAUGCUCUUUGUGUGGAAAGGGAUUUUCCUUGAAACAUCACCUAACAUCUCACAAUAGAGUUCAUAGUUUGAAAAUACCUAGUGGUAUUUUGGAGAAACCUUACCACUGCUUUGACUGUGGCAAAGACUUUGUCAUCAGGCUUCGUAGUCCACCAAAGAAUACAUAUAGGUGUGAAACCCUACCAUUGCAUACAAUGCGGAAAAGGCUUCUCUAACUCUGGAAACCUGAAUUUGCAUGAAAGAAUACAUACAGGAGAGAAGCCUUACAUCUGCCUGUGUGGUAAGGGUUUCUCACAUUUAGGUAACAUGAAAUAACACCAGCGGGUGCAUAGUGGAGACAAACUUUACCGAUGCUCAGAGUGCGAUAAGAGUUUUUCCCACCGCCCAAAACUUCAAGUUCAUCAGCUUAUUCACAGUGUACACCCUCCGCCUGCUAGUGUGUGCUCUGUGUGUAGUAAAGUGUUUUCACGGGUAGAUCGCAUGAAGGAGAAUUACCAAAGUUUGCACAGUUCCGAGAAACCUCACUACUGCUCAGACUACGGGAAACGCUUCUCUUCAACUGGAGAUCUAAGAAGGCACAAGAGAGGCCACACCGGAGUGAAACCUUACGAAUGCCCCCAGUGUGGAAAGAAAAGUGCCUUUUCAUCGAUUAUGAAAAAACACGCGGGUUCACACUGGAGAGAAACCUUACCACUGCGCCAAGUGUGGGGGGGGUUUCUCUCAGUCAAGCAGCCUAAAGCAACAUCAGUGCAGCAUGCACACCUUUUAGAAAGGAAAAUACACUAGAACGAUGCACGGUCCAACUGCUUCUGACCAGAAUAUUGUCAGUUAUUUUUUGUUAAUUUACCCGACGAUUCUACAUGUUGAAUCGUUGCAAACAGCUGUCGUUCGCCAGGCACCCAGCAGAUAGUCACUAUAACACACCAUGGUGACAGUAAGUGAUAGGACGACCAUCCGCUGCUUUAACCGUUAAUAGUCGCUGUGUGACUGAGCCUUAAAACCUUUCCAUUUUCCAGUGCUCUGACUCUGCAAAGUGAGAGUUUCAUUCAAAGUAGAUAGUAGGUGCAACAUUAAAAGGUGCAUAGUGAGGGAGAAGCCUCAUAGCUGCUCCAACUCUGGGAAGACUGUCUUGUUUUCAAUGACUCUAAAGGUUCACCAGCUCUCUCUGUCUAUGUCUCUCUCUCAGAACAGGAGCCUUCCCAUUAAUGCAGUGUGGAGAAGGUUUCUCAUUGCUAUGCUUUGUAUGCACUCUCAAAAUGAAUUGACUGAUGAUGAUGAUGAUGAUAAGAAAUGGUUGCUCUUGGUCAGAUUAUUUUCCAUAUAAAUGAGCUUUUCUCACUUUGUUGCUUUGUAUGCUGUGUCAAAAUGUAUUUCUGGAGAAAGGUUUUACAUCCUACUGGACACUGGUUGAAUCAACAUUGUUUGCACGUUAUUUCAAUGAAUUGAAGUUGAACCAACAUGGAAUGGAUGUUGAAUUGAUGUCUGUGACAAUAAGGAUUGUGAUGAUGAUGAAAUGUGUUUCGAUUUGUUUUCCUUCUAAAUGAGAUGCUACCUUUAAAGGUAAUAGGUUGAUGAUUGGCAUAUAUUCCAACAUUUGUGUAAUUUAAGGUUCAAUAAAUGUAAAAUGACAUCA
Molecule: non-coding RNA, 2100 nt
Organism: Salmo salar (Atlantic salmon)
Lineage: Eukaryota; Metazoa; Chordata; Actinopteri; Salmoniformes; Salmonidae
Source: RefSeq, a predicted model, not a curated record